This 400-nucleotide long non-coding RNA is filed under the name Elaeis guineensis (African oil palm). RNAcentral describes it as "long non-coding RNA (EGUI_LNC035201)". Lineage: Eukaryota; Viridiplantae; Streptophyta; Magnoliopsida; Arecales; Arecaceae. The record is from RNAcentral.
GUUGUCUGAAGGAUAAAAUUAUCAGCCAAUCUAGAAAAGGAGAGAUUGAAGCAAAGGCCACAUCAAAUGAUACACAACCCCAGCAAUGAUGUUCUUGAAAGCAGUCUCAGAAGAUUCAUAUGGCGCAUGACAACCCAAUCGAAUCAUCUGAUCCUCUGUUGGUCUUCGCAUGCGGAUGAAGCCUUAAGCCCCAUAAGGCUCGAUGCCCAUAAGAGAGUGAGAAGGUCCCCAAUGUUCUCACGACAUGGAGGCUUUGCCAUCGGAAAGCUUAACAUAGCUCGUUAUAGCCACGGAUGGCCCACUAUAGCCAUAUAGCCUAUUGUAGUCUAGAUGGUCCACUAUAGCCAUCAAUGUGACUUAUUGUAGCUACGGAUGGCCCACUAUAGCUGUCAACAUGACC